GAUGAAGAACGUAGCGAAAUGCGAUAAGUAAUGUGAAUUGCAGAAUUCAGUGAAACAUCGAAUCUUUGAACGCACAUUGCGCCCGCCAGUAUUCUGGCGAGCAUGCCUGUUCGAGCGUCAUUUCAACCAUCAAGCCCCAGGCUUGUGUUGGAGCCCUGCGGCUGCCGCAGCCUCCCAAAACCAGUGGCGGGCUCGCUAUCACACCGAGUGCAGUAGUUUACUCUUCGCUCAGGGCGUGUGGCGGGUGCUAGCCGUGAAACCCCCAACUUCUCAAGGUUGACCUCGGAUCAGGUAGGAAUACCCGCUGAACUUAAGCAUAUCAAUAAGCGGAGGA
RNAcentral lists this unclassified non-coding RNA (334 nucleotides) under soil metagenome. RNAcentral's name for it is "partial contains 5.8S ribosomal RNA, internal transcribed spacer 2, and large subunit ribosomal RNA". The stretch from base 1 to 120 matches the Rfam family "5.8S ribosomal RNA", at positions 35 to 154 of the family's 154-position model. The record is from RNAcentral.